This 70-nucleotide transfer RNA is filed under the name Daphnia magna. It matches the Rfam family "tRNA". Rfam says of the family: Transfer RNA (tRNA) molecules are approximately 80 nucleotides in length. Their secondary structure includes four short double-helical elements and three loops (D, anti-codon, and T loops). The record is from Rfam by way of RNAcentral. Lineage: Eukaryota; Metazoa; Arthropoda; Branchiopoda; Diplostraca; Daphniidae.
GCAUUGAUGGUUCAAUGGUAGAAUGCGUGCUCCCACGCACGUGAUCCGGGUUCGAUUCCCGGUUAAUGCA